CAGCCGCCGCGGGAAUACGUAGGUGGCAAGCGUUGUCCGGAAUUAUUGGGCGUAAAGGGCUCGCAGGCGGUUUCUUAAAUCUGAUGUGAAAGCCCCCGGCUCAACCGGGGAGGGUCAUUGGAAACUGGGAAACUUGAGUGCAGAAGAGGAGAGUGGAAUUCCACGUGUAGCGGUGAAAUGCGUAGAGAUGUGGAGGAACACCAGUGGCGAAGGCGACUCUCUGGUCUGUAACUGACGCUGAGGAGCGAAAGCGUGGGGAGCGAACAGGAUUAGAGACCCCCGUUAGUCCCUGUCUCUUAUA
RNAcentral lists this ribosomal RNA (301 nucleotides) under uncultured bacterium. Its description in RNAcentral is "partial 16S ribosomal RNA". It matches the Rfam family "Bacterial small subunit ribosomal RNA", at positions 509 to 808 of the family's 1533-position model. The record is from RNAcentral.